This is a long non-coding RNA of Humulus lupulus (European hop), 413 nucleotides long. RefSeq lists it as uncharacterized. NCBI's taxonomy places the organism in Eukaryota, Viridiplantae, Streptophyta, Magnoliopsida, Rosales, Cannabaceae. The transcript is spliced from 2 exons. The record is from RefSeq and is a predicted model, not a curated record.
AAAAAUAAGGAAAGACAAAAAGAAGGCUUAGAAGCAAGUAGCUGGAAAGGCACCGACAACUAAAAAACUUGCUGGAGCAAAGCCAACUAGCAAGAAGGCUAAAGGAUAAUCUUUCCACUGCAAGGAGGAGGGGCAUUGGAAGCGUAAUUGCCCCUCCCUCAAGGCAACUAGAACCAAGCAACAGGAAAACGGUGAAGGAGAGCAAGUUAAAGCUUAGAGUUGGAAAUGGUGAAUUCGUGGAGGUCAAAGCAAAAGGACAAGCUCCUUUAAAUUUUGAAAAUAAAUUUAUGUUGUUGGAUGAUAUUUAUUUUGUUCCAAACUUCAGUAGGAAUUUAGUUUCAGUUUCCUUAUUACAUCAACAACGAUUUGUUGUUACGUUCACAAGUCUUAAUAUAUCUAUUUCAUUUGAUGGA